RNAcentral lists this ribosomal RNA (1573 nucleotides) under Entomelas ophisauri. RNAcentral's name for it is "eukaryotic LSU rRNA". The stretch from base 639 to 1573 matches the Rfam family "Eukaryotic large subunit ribosomal RNA", at positions 1 to 925 of the family's 3401-position model. The record is from RNAcentral. Lineage: Eukaryota; Metazoa; Nematoda; Chromadorea; Rhabditida; Rhabdiasidae.
AACCUGCCGGUGGAUCAAUACUGAAUUUACGGCUCUUUGAUGAUGCUUUACGUUCGGUACGAUCNUUGCGAUCAACAACCCCCCAAACUAAAACGGUCCACCAUUGGCGUCUAAACAUGCUGCUAACGCUCGUCAACCGUCGACGCGUAUCGAUCAGCAUGCUUAGCAUUCACACACAACACUUUCACGAGUGUUGAGUGGAUGUAGACUUAAUGAAUAUCUGCGCCGGAUAUCGCCAAUAAAACAUUUCUGUUGUUCAUUUAGAAAACAUACACACACAAAUUACUACUCCUAGUGGUGGAUCACUCGGCUCGCAGGUCGAUGAAGAACGCAGCUAGCUGCGAUAGUUGGUGCGAAUUGCAAACACAUUGAGCACUAAAAUUUCGAACGCAUAUUGCGCCGUCGGUUUUUCCGUCGGCAGGUCUGUCUGAGGGUUACAAACAAGUACUUGCAAAAUAACCGCUAGCAUGUUGCGGCGUUUUGUUUAACGAGAAGCUCGGUACGAUCUUCGUGUAUCGUCCUUCUCUGGCACAUUGUGAUUCGCAAUGAUAUAUGAAUCACCUAAUUCACCUAACACGUGCAACUAGUGUUUGUUGUGAAUGUGUUAUGGGUGGUUUUGAUAUGUCAUUUUACGAUUGCAACCUCAGAUCAGUCCUGAUUACCCGCUGAAUUUAAGCAUAUCAGUAAGCGGAGGAAAAGAAACUAACUAUGAUUCCUUUAGUAACAGCGAGUGAACGAGGAAGAGCCCAGCGCUGAAUCUUUCGGUCUAUGGCCGCUAAGAGUUGUAGCGUAUAGGUGUAGCUUUCUACGGCCGAUGUAUACUCAAAGUCCCUUUGAUUGGGGCCACAGUCCUGAGAAGGUGCAAGACCUGUACGAGUUGCAUUGUGUUGUAGUCGGUUGCUCCUUGGAGUCGGGUUGCCUGAGAACGCAGCCUGAAUUGGGUGGUAAACUCCAUCUAAGGCUAAAUAGUACUGCGAGUCCGAUAGCAAACAAGUACCGUGAGGGAAAGUUGCAAAGAACUUUGAAGAGAGAGUUCAAGAGUGCGUGAAACCACUGGGAUGGAAACGGAUAGAGUUGACGAAUUGGGCGAUAUUCAGCUGUUUUGCGUGAGCAAAGUGGUGUACUUAUCGUCUGUGUGCGCUGAGAAUCUUGAUUGAACAUUCUGAACCGUCGUGCUGUUGCCCGUCGUCUCACGACGAUGGUGUCUUGUGCGUGCGGGUUGGGAUGUUUCGACUAAGUUGUUUCGGUGUGAAAGUCGACCACCUAUCCGACCCGUCUUGAAACACGGACCAAGGAGUCUAGCGUAUGUGCGAGUCAUUGGGUGGUAAACCUAUUGGCGUAACGAAAGUAAAGGUCGUUUUUUGCGGCUGAUAUGGGAUCCGUACGGUUUCGGCCGUGCGGCGCACCAUAGCCCUGUCUCGAAGGCUUGCCUUGAGAUGGAGGUAGAGCGCAUGCGCUAGGACCCGAAAGAUGGUGAACUAUACGUGAGCAGGAUGAAGCCGGAGGAAACUCUGGUGGAAGUCCGUAACGGUUCUGACGUGCAAAUCGAUCGUCUGACUUGCGUAUAGGGGCG